Molecule: ribosomal RNA, 265 nt
Filed under: uncultured prokaryote
Description: partial 16S ribosomal RNA
Rfam family: Bacterial small subunit ribosomal RNA
Source: RNAcentral
UACGUAGGUGGCAAGCGUUAUCCGGAAUUAUUGGGCGUAAAGAGCGCGCAGGUGGUUGAUUAAGUCUGAUGUGAAAGCCCACGGCUUAACCGUGGAGGGUCAUUGGAAACUGGUCGACUUGAGUGUAGAAGAGGGAAGUGGAAUUCCAUGUGUAGCGGUGAAAUGCGUAGAGAUAUGGAGGAACACCAGUGGCGAAGGCGGCUUCCUGGUCUGUAACUGACACUGAGGCGCGAAAGCGUGGGGAGCAAACAGGAUUAGAUACCCU